UGUAGGGGCUAUAAGGCGUGUUGAAAAUAAUCGUAGACGAAAUGAAAGAAAUAGACUUAGGCGAGAUGAAAUUAAUCGUUUACAAAAUGAAAGAAAUAGGCUAGAUCGAGA
Molecule: non-coding RNA, 111 nt
Organism: Hydra vulgaris (swiftwater hydra)
Lineage: Eukaryota; Metazoa; Cnidaria; Hydrozoa; Anthoathecata; Hydridae
Source: RefSeq, a predicted model, not a curated record